GAGUUUGAUCCUGGCUCAGAACGAACGCUGGCGGCGUGCUUAACACAUGCAAGUCGAACGUGAUCCAGAGCUUGCUCUGGUGAAAGUGGCGCACGGGUGAGUAACGCGUGGAUAACCUGCCCUGGUAUCUGGGAUAACAUCUCGAAAGGGGUGCUAAUACCGGAUAAGCCUACGGGGUCCUCGGACUCUGCAGGAAAAGGUGGCCUCUAUUUAUAAGCUACCGUAUCAGGAUGGGUCCGCGUACCAUUAGCUAGUUGGUGGGGUAAUGGCCCACCAAGGCGACGAUGGUUAGCUGGUCUGAGAGGAUGAUCAGCCACACUGGAACUGAGACACGGUCCAGACUCCUACGGGAGGCAGCAGUGGGGAAUUUUGCGCAAUGGGGGAAACCCUGACGCAGCAACGCCGCGUGAGUGAUAAAGGCUUUCGGGUCGUAAAGCUCUGUCAGAGGGGAAGAAAUGAGUCUGGCUAAUAUCCAGAUUUCUUGACGGUACCCUCAAAGGAAGCACCGGCUAACUCCGUGCCAGCAGCCGCGGUAAUAC
RNAcentral lists this ribosomal RNA (539 nucleotides) under uncultured Geobacteraceae bacterium. RNAcentral's name for it is "bacterial SSU rRNA". It matches the Rfam family "Bacterial small subunit ribosomal RNA", at positions 9 to 526 of the family's 1533-position model. The record is from RNAcentral. Lineage: Bacteria; Pseudomonadati; Thermodesulfobacteriota; Desulfuromonadia; Geobacterales; Geobacteraceae.